This 498-nucleotide ribosomal RNA is filed under the name Alcaligenes faecalis. RNAcentral describes it as "bacterial SSU rRNA". It matches the Rfam family "Bacterial small subunit ribosomal RNA", at positions 44 to 529 of the family's 1533-position model. Lineage: Bacteria; Pseudomonadati; Pseudomonadota; Betaproteobacteria; Burkholderiales; Alcaligenaceae. The record is from RNAcentral.
AUGCUUUACACAUGCAAGUCGAACGGCAGCACGAGAGAGCUUGCUCUCUUGGUGGCGAGUGGCGGACGGGUGAGUAAUAUAUCGGAACGUGCCCAGUAGCGGGGGAUAACUACUCGAAAGAGUGGCUAAUACCGCAUACGCCCUACGGGGGAAAGGGGGGGAUUCUUCGGAACCUCUCACUAUUGGAGCGGCCGAUAUCGGAUUAGCUAGUUGGUGGGGUAAAGGCUCACCAAGGCAACGAUCCGUAGCUGGUUUGAGAGGACGACCAGCCACACUGGGACUGAGACACGGCCCAGACUCCUACGGGAGGCAGCAGUGGGGAAUUUUGGACAAUGGGGGAAACCCUGAUCCAGCCAUCCCGCGUGUAUGAUGAAGGCCUUCGGGUUGUAAAGUACUUUUGGCAGAGAAGAAAAGGUAUCCCCUAAUACGGGAUACUGCUGACGGUAUCUGCAGAAUAAGCACCGGCUAACUACGUGCCAGCAGCCGCGGUAAUACGUA